Molecule: ribosomal RNA, 373 nt
Filed under: uncultured organism
Description: partial 16S ribosomal RNA
Rfam family: Bacterial small subunit ribosomal RNA
Source: RNAcentral
GUAGGUGGCAAGCGUUGUCCGGAAUUAUUGGGCGUAAAGCGCGCGCAGGCGGUUCUUUAAGUCUGAUGUGAAAGCCCACGGGCUCAACCGUGGAGGGUCAUUGGAAACUGGAGAACUUGAGUACAGAAGAGGAAAGCGGAAUUCCACGUGUAGCGGUGAAAAGCGUAGAGAUGUGGAGGAACACCAGUGGCGAAGGCGGCUUUCUGGUCUGUAACUGACGCUGAGGCGCGAAAGCGUGGGGAGCAAACAGGAUUAGAUACCCUGGUAGUCCACGCCGUAAACGAUGAGUGCUAAGUGUUAGGGGGUUUCCGCCCCUUAGUGCUGCAGCUAACGCAUUAAGCACUCCGCCUGGGGAGUACGGCCGCAAAGGCUG